GACGAACGCUGGCGGCGUGCCUAACACAUGCAAGUCGAACGGAAAGGCCCUGCUUUUGUGCGGUGCUCGAGUGGCGAACGGGUGAGUAACACGUGAGUAACCUGUACCUGACUUUGGGAUAUCUUUAGGAAACAGGGGCUCUUACCGGAUAGGAGCUAUUGCCGCAUGGUGGGCGUUGGAAAGAUUCGGUGGUUGGGGCUUGACUAGCGGCCUAUCAGCUUGAUGGUGGGGUAGGGGCUUACCAUGGUUUUGACGGGUAGCCGACCUGGGAGGGUAACCUGCCACAUUAGUACUGGGAUACGACCCAGACGCGAACCGUACGCAGAGGUGGAGUGGAUUACACAGGAGACUGGAGCCAGGUGUGACAACGCCGUGUGCGGUAAGACGUGCUUCGGGUUGUGAACCACUGUCGCCUUAGACGAGACGUGAGUGACGGUAAUGGGUAAAGAAGCACCGGCUAACUACGUG
RNAcentral lists this ribosomal RNA (468 nucleotides) under uncultured bacterium. RNAcentral's name for it is "partial 16S ribosomal RNA". It matches the Rfam family "Bacterial small subunit ribosomal RNA", at positions 28 to 507 of the family's 1533-position model. The record is from RNAcentral.